AGGAUCAUUCGCAAUGGACGAAAGUCUGACGAUGCGACGCUGCGUGGAGGAUGAAGGCCUUCGGGUUGUAAACUCCUGUCAUGAGGGAAGAGGCGAGGGGACCUAAUACGUUCUUUAGUUGACUGUACCUCAAGAGGAAUGGGCGGCUAACUCUGUGCCAGCAGCCGCGGUAAUACAGAGGCCCAUAGCGUUGUUCGGAUUUACUGGGCGUAAAGGGCGCGUAGGCGGCAGGGCGUGUCAAGUGUGAAAUCUCCGGGCUCAACCCGGAAAGUGCGCUUGAAACUACUCUGCUCGAGGCCGGGAGAGGGAAUCGGAAUAUAGGGUGUAGCGGUGAAAUGCGUUGAUAUCCUAUAGAACACCGGAGGCGAAGGCGGAUUCCUGGAACGGUUCUGACGCUGAGGCGCGAAAGUCGGGGGAGCAAACA
Molecule: ribosomal RNA, 424 nt
Filed under: uncultured bacterium
Lineage: Bacteria
Description: bacterial SSU rRNA
Rfam family: Bacterial small subunit ribosomal RNA
Source: RNAcentral